RNAcentral lists this ribosomal RNA (1071 nucleotides) under Lacticaseibacillus paracasei. RNAcentral's name for it is "bacterial SSU rRNA". It matches the Rfam family "Bacterial small subunit ribosomal RNA", at positions 465 to 1533 of the family's 1533-position model. The record is from RNAcentral. Lineage: Bacteria; Bacillati; Bacillota; Bacilli; Lactobacillales; Lactobacillaceae.
CGGCGUGACGGUAUCCAACCAGAAAGCCACGGCUAACUACGUGCCAGCAGCCGCGGUAAUACGUAGGUGGCAAGCGUUAUCCGGAUUUAUUGGGCGUAAAGCGAGCGCAGGCGGUUUUUUAAGUCUGAUGUGAAAGCCCUCGGCUUAACCGAGGAAGCGCAUCGGAAACUGGGAAACUUGAGUGCAGAAGAGGACAGUGGAACUCCAUGUGUAGCGGUGAAAUGCGUAGAUAUAUGGAAGAACACCAGUGGCGAAGGCGGCUGUCUGGUCUGUAACUGACGCUGAGGCUCGAAAGCAUGGGUAGCGAACAGGAUUAGAUACCCUGGUAGUCCAUGCCGUAAACGAUGAAUGCUAGGUGUUGGAGGGUUUCCGCCCUUCAGUGCCGCAGCUAACGCAUUAAGCAUUCCGCCUGGGGAGUACGACCGCAAGGUUGAAACUCAAAGGAAUUGACGGGGGCCCGCACAAGCGGUGGAGCAUGUGGUUUAAUUCGAAGCAACGCGAAGAACCUUACCAGGUCUUGACAUCUUUUGAUCACCUGAGAGAUCAGGUUUCCCCUUCGGGGGCAAAAUGACAGGUGGUGCAUGGUUGUCGUCAGCUCGUGUCGUGAGAUGUUGGGUUAAGUCCCGCAACGAGCGCAACCCUUAUGACUAGUUGCCAGCAUUUAGUUGGGCACUCUAGUAAGACUGCCGGUGACAAACCGGAGGAAGGUGGGGAUGACGUCAAAUCAUCAUGCCCCUUAUGACCUGGGCUACACACGUGCUACAAUGGAUGGUACAACGAGUUGCGAGACCGCGAGGUCAAGCUAAUCUCUUAAAGCCAUUCUCAGUUCGGACUGUAGGCUGCAACUCGCCUACACGAAGUCGGAAUCGCUAGUAAUCGCGGAUCAGCACGCCGCGGUGAAUACGUUCCCGGGCCUUGUACACACCGCCCGUCACACCAUGAGAGUUUGUAACACCCGAAGCCGGUGGCGUAACCCUUUUAGGGAGCGAGCCGUCUAAGGUGGGACAAAUGAUUAGGGUGAAGUCGUAACAAGGUAGCCGUAGGAGAACCUGCGGCUGGAUCACCUCCUUU